UUUUAGCCCCGAUAGUAGUGGAAAUCCUUGUGAGCCGGGGUUCGGCUCACAAGAUUGUAACGAAUAGCGGGACAACUG
Molecule: small RNA, 78 nt
Filed under: Flavobacterium sp. 103
Lineage: Bacteria; Pseudomonadati; Bacteroidota; Flavobacteriia; Flavobacteriales; Flavobacteriaceae
Description: Flavo-1 RNA
Rfam family: Flavo-1 RNA
Source: RNAcentral